This 72-nucleotide transfer RNA is filed under the name Candidatus Fermentimicrarchaeum limneticum. RNAcentral describes it as "tRNA-Ala". It matches the Rfam family "tRNA". From Rfam's summary of the family: Transfer RNA (tRNA) molecules are approximately 80 nucleotides in length. The record is from RNAcentral. Lineage: Archaea; Nanobdellati; Microcaldota; Candidatus Fermentimicrarchaeales; Candidatus Fermentimicrarchaeaceae.
GGGCUCGUAGCUCAGUAGCAGAGCGUUCGCUUGGCGUGCGAAAGGCCGCGGGUGCGACUCCCGCCGAGUCCA